UGGUCGACCUUGAACUUGGGCUUCUGGGUCUGACUCUCCCAUACUUUAUACUUUUUUAUUCUUCUUUUUCUUCAUUUCUUAAAGGGAUCGGAUGAUGCCCACUCAAAGAAGAUCCUCCCACUACAUUCAUUAUCUUCUUAUAGAGUUGAUGAUCCUUCUCAAAAGUCUGUAGCAACCCCAACAGAUUGUGAUAGUUGACUACAGGCUUCGUCAUUCGAAAAUGA
Molecule: long non-coding RNA, 224 nt
Filed under: Elaeis guineensis (African oil palm)
Lineage: Eukaryota; Viridiplantae; Streptophyta; Magnoliopsida; Arecales; Arecaceae
Description: long non-coding RNA (EGUI_LNC069971)
Source: RNAcentral